Molecule: ribosomal RNA, 497 nt
Filed under: uncultured bacterium
Lineage: Bacteria
Description: partial 16S ribosomal RNA
Rfam family: Bacterial small subunit ribosomal RNA
Source: RNAcentral
GACGAACGCUGGCGGCGUGCCUAAUACAUGCAAGUAGAACGCUCAAGAGAGGAGCUUGCUCUUCUUGCGUUAGUUGCGGACGGGUGAGUAACACGUAGGUAACCUGCCUUUUAGAGGGGGAUAACUACUGGAAACGGUAGCUAAUACCGCAUAACAUUUGGUGACACAUGGCUCAUUUUUGAAAGAGGCAAUUGCUCCCCCACAAGAUGGACUUCCGUUCUCUUAGCUUGUAGGUUAGGUAAUGGCCUAACUAGGCGACGAUUCAGAGCCGACCUGAGGAGGUGAACGGCCCAACCGGGAAUGGGACCAGGCCCAGACUCCUACGGGAGGGAGCAGUAGGGAAUCCUUGGCAAAUGGGGGAAACCUGGCCGGGCAAAGCCGGGUGAGGGAAGAAGGGUUUCGGAUUGUAAAGACCCUUUUUUAGUCAAGAACGGGUGUGGGAGUGGAAAAUGCACGUUGUGACGGUAGCUAAUCAGAAAGGGACGGCUAACUACGUG